RNAcentral lists this ribosomal RNA (459 nucleotides) under uncultured bacterium. RNAcentral describes it as "partial 16S ribosomal RNA". It matches the Rfam family "Bacterial small subunit ribosomal RNA", at positions 338 to 795 of the family's 1533-position model. The record is from RNAcentral.
CCUACGGGAGGCAGCAGUGAGGAAUAUUGGUCAAUGGGAGAGAUCCUGAACCAGCCAAGCCGCGUGAGGGAAGACGGCCCUAUGGGUUGUAAACCUCUUUUGUCGGAGAACAAAACCCGGGACGUGUCCCGGGCUGCGUGUGUCCGAAGAAAAAGCAUCGGCAAACUCCGUGCAAGCAGCCGCGGUAAUACGGAGGAUGCGAGCGUGAUCCGGAUUUAUUGGGUUUAAGGGGUGCGUAGGCGGUCCGUUAAGUCAGCGGUAAAAUUGCGGGGCUCAACCCCGUCGAGCAGUUGAAACUGGCAGACUUGAGUUGGCGAGAGGUACGCGGAAUGCGCGGUGUAGCGGUGAAAUGCAUAGAUAUCGCGAAGAACUCCGAUUGCGAAGGCAGCGGACCGGCGCCAGACUGACGCUGAGGCACGAAAGCGUGGGGAUCGAACAGGAUUAGAUACCCCUGUAGUC